UGUCAACCACUCACUUACUUCUCAUUUUCAUACUGCCAGUGAGUUGUUUUACAAAACCUCUCCACUUUUCUCUACUGCAGGGUGGGUGAUGCAACAAUGGCCUUGAGAACAGCAGGAAGUGUGUUGGUGGUCUUUCUCUGGUCUGUGGCAGCAAAUACAGCAACAAGGUGUGGACAACAAAGCCAGGUGAUGGUCUCUCCCACCAACGCAGUGAAGGGACAGGUGACACUGACCUGUAGCAACACCUGUACUCUGAGUGACAACCCCAACCCCACCUACAUCUGGUACAGGAAUGGACAACGUCUAGAUGAGCACAUUUCCCAACAAUACUCAAUCCACAAUUACU
Molecule: long non-coding RNA, 346 nt
Organism: Salvelinus namaycush (lake trout)
Lineage: Eukaryota; Metazoa; Chordata; Actinopteri; Salmoniformes; Salmonidae
Exons: 3
Source: RefSeq, a predicted model, not a curated record